AAGGCACGAUCACGUACUUUUUGUAGAACGGACCGGCGAGUUACGUUAUGCAGCAAGGUUAAGAACUAAAGGUUCGGAGCCGAAGCGAAAGCGAGUCUGAACAGGGCGAUAGUUGCAUGACGUAGACCCGAAACCGGGUGACCUAUCCAUGAGCAGGUUGAAGUGGAGGUAAAGCUCCAUGGAGGACCGAACCAGACGUCUGUUGAAAAAGGCGGGGAUGACUUGUGGAUAGGGGAGAAAUUCCAAUCGAACCCGGAGAUAGCUGGUUCUCCUCGAAAUAGCUUUAGGGCUAGCCUCAUGGAUCAUUGAUGGGGGUAGAGCACUGAAUGUGCGCGGGGGCCACAAAGCCUACCAAACGCUAUCAAACUUCGAAUACCAUACAAUGCAGACCAUGGGAGUCAGUCCGCGAGAGAUAAGUUCCGCGGGCAAAAGGGGAACACCCCAGAUCAACCGCUAAGGUCCCCAAGUUCACGUUAAGUGGAGAAGGAUGUGGAAUUGCACAGACAACCAGGAUGUUGGCUCAGAAGCAGCCACACAUUUAAAGAGUGCGUAAUAGCUCACUGGUCGAGUGAUUGUGCGCCGAAGAUGUCCGGGGCUAAACGUGACACCGAAGCGAUGGGUGCAUCUGAAAGGAUGCGCGGUAGAGGAGCAAUGUGCAGAGGCAGAAGCCGUAUCGAGAGGCACGGUGGACACUGCACAAGAGAGAAUGCCGGUAUGAGUAGCGAGAGGCAUGCGAGAAACAUGCCCGUCGAAAGCCCAAGGUUUCCUGGGGAAGGUUCAUCCGCCCAGGGUAAGUCGGGGCCUAAGCCGAGGACGGAAGUCGUAGGCGAUGGACAGCAGGUGUAGAUUCCUGCACUACCGAUGGAAUGAAGCAGUGACACAGAAGGAUAACUCGAGCAGGGUGAUGGUCAACCCUGUGCAAGCAUCAAGGUUGGGUUGUAGUGAAGUACGCAAUCCUAUAAGCUGAGGUGUGAUGCGGACCGAAAUUUUAGUAGGGAAGCGAGUGAGUUCACGCUGGCGAGAAAAGCUGCUAGUACAUCCAAAGGUACCCGUACCGGAAACCGACGCAGGUGGGCGAGGAGAGAAUCCUGAGACGAACGGGAGAACCCUUGUUAAGGAACUCGGCAAAAUGACCCCGUAACUUCGGGAUAAGGGGUGCCUGCGAGAGCAGGCCGCAGAGAAUAGUCACAAGCGACUGUUUAGCAAAAACACAGGUAUCUGCGAAAGCGAGAGCUGACGUAUAGGUGCUGACACCUGCCCGGUGCUGGAAGGUUAAGGGAACAUGUUAGAGCAAUCGAAGCAUCGAACCGAAGCCCCAGUAAACGGCGGCCGUAACUAUAACGGUCCUAAGGUAGCGAAAUUCCUUGUCGGGUAAGUUCCGACCCGCACGAAUGGUGUAACGACUUGUGAGCUGUCUCAACAGGGGGCCCGGUGAAAUUGAAGUAUGGGUGAAGAUGCCCAUUACCCGCGACUGGACGGAGAGACCCCGUAGAGCUUUACUGCAGCCUGAUAUUGAGUUUCGGUAACUGAUGCACAGGAUAGGUGGGAGUCUGAGAGACACGGGUUUCGGCUCGUGUGGAGACGAUGUUGGGAUACCACUCUUCGGUUACUGAAAUUCUAACAUAGCUCUGUGAAACCAGAGGAUGGACAGUGUCAGGUGGACAGUUUGACUGGGGCGGUCGCCUCCGAAAGAGUAACGGAGGCGCCCAAAGGUACCCUCAGAAUGGAUGGAAACCAUUCGAAGAGCGCAAAGGCAGAAGGGUGCCUGACUGCGAGAUUGACAAAUCGAGCAGAGACGAAAGUCGGGCUUAGUGAUCCGGCGGUAUUGAGUGGAAAAGCCGUCGCUUAACGGAUAAAAGCUACCUCGGGGAUAACAGGCUGAUCUCCCCCAAGAGUCCACAUCGACGGGGAGGUUUGGCAC
RNAcentral lists this ribosomal RNA (1921 nucleotides) under human gut metagenome. Its description in RNAcentral is "bacterial LSU rRNA". It matches the Rfam family "Bacterial large subunit ribosomal RNA", at positions 588 to 2524 of the family's 2925-position model. The record is from RNAcentral.